CCAUUGAUGUUGUUUUUAAGUUUUUGCGGACUUUUCUUAGUGGAUGUACAAUCGUUGCAAAUUGAAUUAUGGGGAGUUUCAGGCCCCGGAGUGAACAUAAUUGUACACUUGCAAAGCCAACUAACAACGAAGGUUCAGGGGCUUACGUUGCAAACUUCCCUUGUUUGGCUAAUCAUUUGGACCGCAUUGCAAGAUGGCGACGGGGCUUCCCCCAAGGGCAUAAGGUGAGGGAACCAUCUAAGGUUAGCUUGGGUUGAUGGAAGGAAGGAGGGCAGCACAAAGGGAAUGGUUCCUGAAACAUGUCAAUGACCUAAUGCAUAGCCUUACAGCUGUCCAUGGCCACCCACUCAGGUCUCACUAAGACUGGAUUCCCCAAGAGGUGUGCUACUCAGCUGCCCAUGGUUGCCUGACAUUAGUGUGCAAAACCUUGUCCUGAUUGGUGAGUCGUGAUGUUUCUCCCCUUUUUUCACUAAAACUCACACGUGUGCAGUUGCAGAGAAUGGGAAGAGAUUUGCCCCCAAAAAUUUUUUACCACAUUUGUAUUUUUUUAAUAUUCAUUUUGUUGGGGGGGUUACACGUACAUUCUCUAUUUAAAAUGAUAUGUUUAUAAAACCUGUUCCUGCGAGGAUCGUGAGGAUCGCUACUGGCAGUGAAGAUGAAUGGUCUCAUCAGGGAGAGAUCGCUCAUGCCUGAGCAUGACAUCCUGUUUCCACCCAGUUACCCCUACAUUGAGGACUACAGUAAACCAACCCAGUAAAUGAACAAUCGCUGCCCUUCCUGGUGCGACCGCUUCCUCAUGUCUCACACUGCCCAAGACAUCACCCACAGAGGAUGAGGGAGAGAGCAGUGUGGCGUACAACACACAGUUCCCAGUGACUACAUGAGAGACCACAAUGUAACAUUUGUUUAUAUAAUGUAAAAUGUCUUGUCUUGAAAAUGGCCCUCGAUCAUCAUGGUUGAUGCUUGCGUUUAAGCAACAACAACAAAAAAGUCGACUUCCUAAAUAUUCAGAAAGCUAGACGCAGUAAUUAUUUUCGAUCUCUUUAUGUAACAGAGGUACCCGUAACUGAGGUGUACCACCAGAUCGCCCUUUGCUCCAAUAAUUAUAGGUUUUGAAAAUGGGUCUUGGAAUAAAUAAAUGAGGCUUACCAAUUUGUCAUCAACAUUAGUCUACUUGCUCAAUGGCCAAGGUGCAUAAAGAUGUGGGUUGCAUGAUUAAACGUCACUCAGCUUUAUCGUGUCUGCAAUAACCAGUUUGUGAUUUUUAGCAUGUAAACCUUGGUGGGGCAAAAAAAAAAGUUUUUUUUGCGAAUGUGCCAGCAAAGCACAACACUAAACAAUAUAUUAAUUGCACAAUAGGUGACAAACAGUAACCACAACAUGUUAUUGCCUACUUAAAGUUGUUCUGUUAGCAGAGCUUUCCUUUCAGCACCAUGGAGUGAAUCCUUACCAACGCUACACCUGGCUAUCAGUCUUGUCUGACAGCGAAACAGUUCAUUCAACCUCAUUUCCUGCCUUUUUAAAAACCAUAGCUGAUAUGGCUGACUUAAACAAACGUGGUUACUACUGGCUCCUUGUGGAUUUGUGUAAGUCGAUAAGAACCGCAUUCUCCUUCAAUAAUAACGAACGCCAAAAUAAGUUCUGACUUUUGAACCAUACACAAACAUUAUUCGAUUUAUGAAUCACUAAAUUCAUAAUGUUUCAUCUUAAAUCAUUAACACUUAGCUCUAAGUAUAAGCAAGUGCAAACAAACGAGCUGCGACGAGGCAGGCCUAUUCGUUCAGCACUUUCAAAAUGGACUCAGACAGAAAUUCAGAUAGAUGUUAGUUCAGAUAAAUUCAGCAAGAUGUUGAGGCCUUAACCUUACUCUUCUUUAAGUCACCACAGAGAGAGAGCGAGAGAGAGACUCGGUUAGCCUACAAUUUUAAGUAUUUUGUUAGGCCUAUAUGGCCUAAAAAGGAAGGAAAAUACAAUCAUGAGUAUCCAAUUUUUUUAUACAUUAUACCGACGCACAGACAGCACAUUGCACAAACAAAACAACCCUUGCAAUAUCAACUGGAACUUUGAAUGGGAAGAGACUGGCAAACAUGGUUACAGACCCAACAACAUUAUAUAGUAUCUCAUCCUAGUGAAGAAAAGCACGAGCUAAUUGUAAUACACAAAGUAAGCAAAACUCACCCUGUUGUCCUGUGCUCACUUGAACAGGAAGGUGGCGCGGCGGACGUUCUUGUGGGCAACUUUUGUCAUCAAACUUUAUCAUCAGUCUGUCAUUCUCAGGAUUUAUGGGUCUUUCAAGACAACUGGGAACUCCGAAUAAAACAAGGUCGAAUCAUGAUAUCAGUGAUCUUCAGAUCAGAGCUCUAGAAAGAGGCCGGAGUUCCCGACUUUGAAUUCAGAGUCGGAUGACCGUUCAAAACGUAUUUUCUCAGUCUGAGCUAAUUUCUUUUCCAGAGUUCCCAGUUGUCUUGAACUCACUGAAGUCUGAGAUGUCCCAGUUCCCGAAUUUCCAGUUCUUUUGAACGAGGUAGAAGACAUGCUGGAUUAACAGCAUGGCCAAUUUAUUCAACCAUUUCUGGCCCUUGAUGUUGCGUGUGAAUGUUUAUCCUUUUAACCUUGGAAAAGAGAUCCUUUCAGACAGAUGUUUGAAAUCCUUAAACGCAGAUUUGGACCACACAUCCUCUACAUCGAAUAGGAGGUAUGGGAAGCAAAUUAGUAAUUGCCCUGCAACGCUUGUAAACUCAGCAAAAAAAGAAACAUCCUCUCACUGUCAACUGCGUUUAUUUUCAGCAAAUGAACGUGUAAAUAUUUUUAUGAACAUAACAAGAUUCAACAACUGAGACAAACUGAACAAGUUCCACAGACAUGUGACUAAUAGAAAUGGAAUCAUGUGUUGUUGUUGCCAAUAGACAUUGUAAUUUAUUGCCCUGGCCACAUCUGCAGUCCUCAUGCGCCCCUCAGGGGUGCGUGCUUAGUCCCCCCUGUAUUCCUUGUUCCC
Long non-coding RNA from Salmo salar (Atlantic salmon), 2995 nucleotides. RefSeq lists it as uncharacterized. The record is from RefSeq and is a predicted model, not a curated record. Lineage: Eukaryota; Metazoa; Chordata; Actinopteri; Salmoniformes; Salmonidae.